CUGCUUCCCUGACGAGUGGCGGACGGGUGAGUAAUGUCUGGGAAACUGCCUGAUGGAGGGGGAUAACUACUGGAAACGGUAGCUAAUACCGCAUAACGUCGCAAGACCAAAGAGGGGGACCUUCGGGCCUCUUGCCAUCGGAUGUGCCCAGAUGGGAUUAGCUAGUAGGUGGGGUAACGGCUCACCUAGGCGACGAUCCCUAGCUGGUCUGAGAGGAUGACCAGCCACACUGGAACUGAGACACGGUCCAGACUCCUACGGGAGGCAGCAGUGGGGAAUAUUGCACAAUGGGCGCAAGCCUGAUGCAGCCAUGCCGCGUGUAUGAAGAAGGCCUUCGGGUUGUAAAGUACUUUCAGCGGAGAGGAAGGUGAUGAGGUUAAUAACCUUGUCAAUUGACGUUACCCGCAGAAGAAGCACCGGUCUAACUCCGUGCCAGCAGCCGCGGUAAUACGGGAGGGUGCAAGCGUUAAUCGGUAUUUACUGGGCGUAAAGCGCACGCGGCGGUCUGUCAAGUCGGAUGUGAAAUCCCCGGGCUCAACCUGGGAACUGCAUUCGAAACUGGCAGGCUAGAGUCUUGUAGAGGG
Molecule: ribosomal RNA, 584 nt
Filed under: Enterobacter hormaechei
Lineage: Bacteria; Pseudomonadati; Pseudomonadota; Gammaproteobacteria; Enterobacterales; Enterobacteriaceae
Description: bacterial SSU rRNA
Rfam family: Bacterial small subunit ribosomal RNA
Source: RNAcentral